Molecule: long non-coding RNA, 1440 nt
Filed under: Apteryx haastii (Great spotted kiwi)
Lineage: Eukaryota; Metazoa; Chordata; Aves; Apterygiformes; Apterygidae
Description: lncRNA (ENSAHAG00000018500.1)
Source: RNAcentral
AUGGGUGACACUGUGGUGGGUGUUUACUACAGGCCACCUGAUCAGGAAGAGGAAGUCAAUGAGGCCUUCUACAGACAACUGGAAGUAGCCUCACGAUCCCAGGCCCUGGUUCUCAUGGGGGACUUCAACCACCCCGAUAUCUGCUGGAAAGACAACACAGCUAGGCACAAACAGUCCCGGAGGUUCCUGCAGAGCAUUGGUGACAACUUCUUGACACAGGUGGUGGAGGAGCCAACAAGGAGAGGUGUGCUGCUGGACCUGGUACUAACAAACAAAGAAAGACUGGUAGAAGAUGUGAAGGUUGGGGGCUGCCUUGGCUGCAGUGACCAUGAGAUGGUGGAGUUCAGGAUCCUGCAAGGAGGCAGCAGGGCACCAAGUAGGAUCGCAACCCUGGACUUCAGGAGAGCAAACUUUGGCCUCUUCAGGGACCUACUUGGAGGAAUCCCAUGGGUUAGGGCCCUAGAAGGAAGGGGUGUUCAAGAGAGCUGGUUAAUAUUCAAACAUCACCUCCUCCACGCUCAAGAGCGGUGCAUCCCUAUGAGUGGGAAGUCAAGCAAAGGAGGCGGGAGACCUGCAUGGAUGAGCAAGGAGCUCCUGGCAAAACUCUUCCAGAAGGAGGAAGUAUACAGAAAGUGGAAAGGGGGACAGGCCACUUGRGAGGAAUAUAGGAACGUUGUCAGAGUAUGCAGGGAUGGAACAAGGAAGGCUAAGGCCCAUUUGGAAUUAAAUCUGGCGAGAGAUGUCAAGGACAGCAAGAAGGGCUUCUUCAAAUGCAUCAGUAGCAAGAGGAAGACCAGGGAAAAUGUGGGCCCUUUGCUGAAUGGGGUGGGUGCCCUGGUGAUGAAGGAUGCAGAGAAGGCAGAGUUACUGAAUGCCUUCUUUGCUUCAGUCUUUACUGCUGCUCAGGCCAGCCCUCAGGAACCCCAGACCCUGGAGGCAAGAGAGAAAGUCUGGAGAAAGGAAGACUUUCCCUUGGUGGAGGAGGAUCGGGUUAGAGAUCAUUUAAGCAAACCUGACACCCAGAAAUCCAUGGGUCCUGAUGGGAUGCACCCACGAGUGSUGAGGGAGCUGGCGGAUGUUAUUGCUAAGCCACUCUGCAUCAUCUUUGAAAGGUCAUGGAGAACAGGAGAGGUGCCUGAAGACUGGAAGAAAGCCAAUGUCACCCCAGUCUUCAAAAAGGGCAGGAAGGAGGACCCAGGAAACUACAGGCCAGGCAGCGCCACCUGCAUCCCUGGUAAGGGGAUGGAGCAGCUCAUCCUGGAUGCCAUCUCUAAGCAUAGGAAGGAUAAGAAGGUGAUCAGGAGUAGUCAGCAUGGCUUCAUCAAGGGGAAAUCAUGCUUAAUGAACCCGAUAACCUUCUAUGAUGGCAUGACAGGCUGGGUAGAUGAGGGGAUGGCAGUGGAUGUUGUCUACCUUGACUUCAGCAAGGCUUUCCCAUAA